AAGUCGUAACAAGGUUUCCGUAGGUGAACCUGCGGAAGGAUCAUUACAAUACGUUACUCUUUACGUAUAAACCCAAACGGUUGAACUUGUGAAAAAAAGCGUCCGAUAGGAAUGACAAAAACAAGUGGGUUAAGAUUUUGGCGGCUUUUUGGAAGUGGGUGACCACUUCGGUCAAAGUCGUUUCUCUUGCUUUGCUUUCUGCACUGCGGAAACAAGCAUUAGAAAGCCCUGUUUUUCUUCCUAGUUCGCGUAUUCUUUUAUCCAAAUUUUUAACCCAUUUCACCCAACCUUCCUUUUCUUUAACGAAGAGAACUGAAAUCGAACCCGAGACUGAGGAAACUCGUCUUUGGACAAGAUAUUUACGAAACGUAAGAACAACUCUUAACAACGGAUAUCUUGGCUCUC
RNAcentral lists this unclassified non-coding RNA (405 nucleotides) under fungal sp. Its description in RNAcentral is "partial internal transcribed spacer region". The stretch from base 1 to 46 matches the Rfam family "Eukaryotic small subunit ribosomal RNA", at positions 1786 to 1831 of the family's 1831-position model. Lineage: Eukaryota; Fungi. The record is from RNAcentral.